RNAcentral lists this unclassified non-coding RNA (374 nucleotides) under soil metagenome. RNAcentral's name for it is "partial contains internal transcribed spacer 2 and large subunit ribosomal RNA". The stretch from base 1 to 120 matches the Rfam family "5.8S ribosomal RNA", at positions 35 to 154 of the family's 154-position model. The record is from RNAcentral.
GAUGAAGAACGUAGCGAAAUGCGAUAAUUAAUGUGAAUUGCAGAAUUCCGUGAAUCAUCGAGUCUUUGAACGCACAUUGCGCCUCAUGGCAUUCCGUGAGGCAUGCCCAUCUCAGCGUUAGAAAAUAUUCUCAAAUUUUAGUUUUGUGCUAAAAUUUGGAUCAUGUCAAGGAAGCUAUUACUAUUAUUGUGAUCGCUCUUUGGAAAUUGAUAGGUAUUUGAGUUGCUACUCAUAGAACGUGAUGAAUCUUUCUUCGUUCUAUUGUAAUUCACUCUGGUAGUCCUAAAACUUGUAUGCCUGUGGCAUAUCUUGUAAUUUGACCUGAGAUUGGGUAGGGAUACCCGCUGAACUUAAGCAUAUCAAUAAGCGGAGGA